Molecule: ribosomal RNA, 424 nt
Filed under: uncultured bacterium
Lineage: Bacteria
Description: bacterial SSU rRNA
Rfam family: Bacterial small subunit ribosomal RNA
Source: RNAcentral
UGGGGAAUAUUGGACAAUGGGGGCAACCCUGAUCCAGCAAUGCCGCGUGGGCGAUGAAGGCCUUCGGGUUGUAAAGCCCUUUUGCACGCGACGAUGAUGACGGUAGCGUGAGAAGAAGCCCCGGCUAACUUCGUGCCAGCAGCCGCGGUAAUACGAAGGGGGCGAGCGUUGUUCGGAAUUACUGGGCGUAAAGGGCGCGCAGGCGGCCUUAGAAGUCAGAUGUGAAAGCCCCGGGCUCAACCUGGGAAUGGCAUUUGAUACUCUGAGGCUGGAGUACGGGAGAGGAGAGUGGAAUUCCCAGUGUAGAGGUGAAAUUCGUAGAUAUUGGGAAGAACACCGGUGGCGAAGGCGGCUCUCUGGACCGUAACUGACGCUGAGGCGCGAAAGCGUGGGGAGCAAACAGGAUUAGAUACCCCUGUAGUCC